UUUAAGUGCAGUUGUGGGUUUCGGUACACAAUAUUUAACCGUCUGUCUUAUUUAAAAAAAUUUUAUGAUUAGUAUUUUUAUUGUUAUUAGAUGAUAAAACAUGAAUAUUACCUUAUGUCGGAUUUUUUUAUUAACAUUUUUUAUAAAAUUUUCAAAUAAAACAGACUGUCAAAAAUUGAAUACAGAAACCGAAAACUGCACUUAAA
Molecule: non-coding RNA, 206 nt
Organism: Oryza barthii
Lineage: Eukaryota; Viridiplantae; Streptophyta; Magnoliopsida; Poales; Poaceae
Source: Rfam